RNAcentral lists this long non-coding RNA (210 nucleotides) under Mytilus galloprovincialis (Mediterranean mussel). The record is from RNAcentral. Lineage: Eukaryota; Metazoa; Mollusca; Bivalvia; Mytilida; Mytilidae.
CAAGGUCAGGUUAAUGAAACGUUGUGACCACAUUUAAUUCAAUUGUUCAUUCAUACUCCUUCAAUUUUACUCUCCUAUGCUACGGUUACAAACGAAUUAAUAAAAAAAAGAGAAAAGUUUCUAAAACACAACUGUCUGAUACCACUGAAGACAUGGAAGUAAUUCAGAGAAGAGUAUCCAACAACAAAAGAAAAAAAAUUGUAUCGCCAA